CCAUCGUUGAUGUUUAUGAGCCGUUCAAAAGAAUCGGUUCGUUCGCGAACGUCACAACCAAACUGUGAAGAAGAUGAGCAAGUGGUCAAAACGCAAGCAGUGUUCUGCAAUAAAUUGCAAAAAUUACCAAUCCACCAGAAGCGAUUUGGCAUUUCAUCGAUUUCCAAAGGAUGCACAAAGGUGUGCCAGGUGGGUCCAAAAUCUAAGGAAUGCAUCCCUUCAUGUCAUACCUUUGGAUCAGCUGCAUCGGACCUACAGGGUGUGCAGUGCCCAUUUCCACAGCAGCCAGUUCAAAAGACCAUCUGAUGUCCAUGGUGGGCUGAAAUGGGAUGCUGUGCCCACAAAAAUAGAGGCCCCUAACCCACCUCCCCCACUAGAUGUCGAGAGGAAGCGUAAACCUCUGAAGACACGCCAGGAGUUGCCACGUAAAAAACGCAAGCAGAGUCAUGUUCCUCCUCCCUCCAAAGACCAGCACACGGGGGAAGCUGUAGCGGGGCCUUCAUCAUGGGCGCAGUGCACUGAGGAAGCUGUAGCGGGGCCUUCAACAAUGGAAGAGGGAGACAUCAGGAUAAAGCUUUCUUCCUGUCCCUGUGGCACGCAAGUCCAAAAUGUUAUCGGCUUCUCUGCAGAGUGUUUUCUAUGCCCUCUGUCUGCACUUUGCAAAAAACCAUCCAGGCUGUUGACUUCAAAACUGGUUUCAAUAACACUGUUUUAGCCACCAUGAAGUAGGCCAUGGAGACCACCAAGCCCAUCGAGAAGCUGUGUGCCAUCAUCACAGACGAGAUGUCAUUAAAAGAAGCAUUGCACUAUGACAAAGCUGCUGACAGGGUUGAGGGCUUUGAGGACUUCGGCAGAGGUCAGCGCACCCCUUAUGUGGCCAACUACGCCUCUGCUUUUAUGGUAAGAGGCCUGUUCACAAAGUGGAAGCAGCUCUUUGGCUACUGUUUUACUAGUGGGCCCAUACCACACACGCGACUCCAUUCGAUGCUUGUUGAUGGAAUCCGCGAGCUGAGGAAAGCAGGAAUGGAGUGCUUGGUGUUUAUAUGUGACCAGGAUGCUGGGAACCGUGCCAUGCUUAAUCGCCUUGGAGUGACCAAGGAACAGCCAUUCUUCAGUGUUGAUGGCAUCAGAGUGUUUUGCCUUUGGGAUCCACCUCACCUCAUAAAAAACAUCCGGAACAAUUGGCGUGACGUCAUCCAGUGUCCUUCCUCUUAACAAAUCGUCUUAAUCAAGACUGCCUGGAAAAGGCCUACUCAAGUAUCAGAGCCCGUGCGGGCAAUCGUGACAACCCAGACUCCGUUCAGUUUGAAUGUGAAUACCGAGCUGUGGCCACAGGACUGAUGUUCAGCAACUCCGAAAAGACCAGUUGUGAACAAGAUCUUGACAUGUUUCUGUUGCAGCUCAGUGCAUAUGCCUCUCAAGAGAGUCCCCUGGUCAAUGUUGACCCUGAGAGCAUUAUGGAAGAACAUGGCUACUGUAGAGUGGCCACUGAUUGUGAGCAGUGAUGCUGUCCUGAGGUCUGACAUCGGCCCACCUGAAGUUGUCCUGGAUCUACUGACUAAGCCUUCAGCACGAUCAUCUCCAGUCUUUGACCAUGAUGAAUAUGUGUUGGUCUACAUCGCUGGAUACAUCGCUGACAAGGUUCUGGGAAAAUGUACUGAUCCUGAAGGUCCCUGUAAGGAGUGCACAAUUCUUAGCACACGUGUUCCUACUGAUAGUAGAUAUACUUUCCUUAAAGACAAACAGUACACUGACCUCGUCUUAGGAGAGAAGGGUCUGAAAGUGCCCAGCACUGCCCUGGUGGACUUAUUCACAGCCCUGGAGUCUAUCUUCCAGAAAUACAUCAGCAGUGUUAUUCACAGUGUUGGCCUGGGAGAGAAAUUAUUUACUAGCAGCAUGGAGGCUGUCAGUGAGUGCCGGGAAGUAGUGCGUAGCAGGGAAGAGUGCAAGAAAUCACUUGUGUACAUGGUGAAAUUAUUUAACAGGAUAAGAAUUCAUCAUGUAUUGCGCACCCAAAAACGGUGCAUCUCUCAGCCUAAUCAGAAACGCGACAGAAAAUUCUUAAAGUUAACUCAUCAGUAAAUUAUUGGCUCCUCACAGACUCUUUAAUGUCAAAAUCAUCCUUUUCCACGUCUACUCCUUUCGUGUUACAUUAACACUUCCAUUCUAUGUCAAUGCCUCUUCUCUCACAAAAAGAAAAAAAAAAUGCAAACAAACUUCUCAUACUCAAAUGCACACACAAAAGAUGGUGGUGUCUGAUUAAUUACCGAGAUGUUAUGGCACCACUUCCAUUUUAGUACUGUUUAUAGUUCAUGUGUGCACUUGCUAGAUUGCACAUCUUUUUUUUUUUUUUUUUUUUUACCUUUCCAUCUGUAAUAGGACAUUGUUUUUGUUCUUGCCAUUGAAACGUUCACUGUGUGCACUUUCACUAAGAUGUUGAAAAACAAGUUAAUAUUUUUGUGAAAUUCUAGGUAAAAGAUGAACUGUCUUUAGAAAUGCUCAUUUAUAAUUUUAUUUAUUUAUUUUUCCAAAUCAUAUAUAUGGUGAUGUUCACUAAUGUCGAAAUCAACAUUUGAAUAAAUCUUAUUACUGUG
Molecule: RNA transcript, 2594 nt
Organism: Carassius gibelio (silver crucian carp)
Lineage: Eukaryota; Metazoa; Chordata; Actinopteri; Cypriniformes; Cyprinidae
Exons: 6
Source: RefSeq, a predicted model, not a curated record